AGAACUUUGAAGAGAGAGUUCAAGAGUACGUGAAACCGUUCAGGGGUAAACCUGAGAAACCUAAAAGAUCGAACGGGGAGAUUCAUCGUCAGGGAAGCUGGUAUUCGUGCUCGUCGCGAUGCCCGGGACUCCGGUCUCGGCGCACGCCCCAGCUGCGGAUAAUCCGGCGGCCUCGGCGUGCACUUCUCCCCUAGUAGAACGUCGCGACCCGUUGGGUGCYGGUCUACGGCUCGGUGCGUCGCCUGUCGCGUCCUCGCAAGAGUGUGCGCGGCAGACGCCCGAUCGCCCGACCGGCUGCCCGGCGGUAAAGAAACUAUUGACAUGGUAAAGGGCCGCACUAAGUGCGUUCAGGCACGUCGUCAGGCGAGUUACCGCCUGGUGCGCGGACCUAGUGCCGCGUAUCGGGCCGUGCUUGCCUCUCGUCGGCGUUGUCCUCGGACAGGCUCUGCGAACGUUCCCUCUCGGGGGGACGUACCAGUCGGCGACGCUACUGCUUUGGGUACUUUCAGGACCCGUCUUG
Molecule: ribosomal RNA, 520 nt
Filed under: Anaphes flavipes
Lineage: Eukaryota; Metazoa; Arthropoda; Insecta; Hymenoptera; Mymaridae
Description: partial large subunit ribosomal RNA
Source: RNAcentral